GGAGUCUCCUUAAGGGGUUUCUGACUGCAAAUCAGAAGAAAGACUAGUCUAGGCUCUG
This 58-nucleotide transfer RNA is filed under the name Laqueus rubellus. Its description in RNAcentral is "tRNA-Cys". The record is from RNAcentral. Lineage: Eukaryota; Metazoa; Brachiopoda; Rhynchonellata; Terebratulida; Laqueidae.